AAUUUUUGACAAUGGGGGAAACCCUGAUCCAGCCAUCCCGCGCGUAUGAUGAAUGCCUUCGGGUUGUAAAGUACUCUUGGCAGAGAAGAAAAGGUACCUCCUAAUACGACGUACUGCUGACGGUAUCUGCAGAAUACGCACCGGGUAACUACGUGCCAGCAGCCGCGGUAAUAGGUAGGGUGCAAGCGUUAAUCGGAAUUACUGGGCGUAAAGCGUGUGUAGGCGGUUCGGAAAGAAAGAUGUGAAAUCCCAGGGCUCAACCUUGGAACUGCAUUUUUAACUGCCGAGCUAGAGUAUGUCAGAGGGGGUAGAAUUCCACGUGUAGCAGUGAAAUGCGUAGAUAUGUGGAGGAAUACCGAUGGCGAAGGCAGCCCCCUGGGAUAAUACUGACGCUCAGACACGAAAGCGUGGGGAGCAAACAGG
This 423-nucleotide ribosomal RNA is filed under the name uncultured bacterium. RNAcentral describes it as "partial 16S ribosomal RNA". It matches the Rfam family "Bacterial small subunit ribosomal RNA", at positions 360 to 776 of the family's 1533-position model. The record is from RNAcentral.